UACGGGGGGAGCAAGCGUUGUUCGGAUUUACUGGGCGUAAAGGGCGCGUAGGCGGCGCAACAAGUCACUUGUGAAAUCUCCGGGCUUAACCCGGAGCGGCCAAGUGAUACUGUCGUGCUAGAGUGCGGAAGGGGCUACUGGAAUUCUCGGUGUAGCGGUGAAAUGCGUAGAUAUCGAGAGGAACACCUGUGGCGAAGGCGGGUAGCUGGGCCGACACUGACGCUGAGGCGCGAAAGCUAGGGGAGCGAACGGG
Molecule: ribosomal RNA, 253 nt
Filed under: uncultured Acidobacteriota bacterium
Lineage: Bacteria; Pseudomonadati; Acidobacteriota
Description: uncultured Acidobacteria bacterium partial 16S ribosomal RNA
Rfam family: Bacterial small subunit ribosomal RNA
Source: RNAcentral